RNAcentral lists this ribosomal RNA (253 nucleotides) under uncultured bacterium. RNAcentral's name for it is "partial 16S ribosomal RNA". It matches the Rfam family "Bacterial small subunit ribosomal RNA", at positions 524 to 776 of the family's 1533-position model. The record is from RNAcentral.
UACGGAAGGUGCGAGCGUUAAUCGGAAUCACUGGGCGUAAAGCGCGCGUAGGCGGUUGCGUAAGUCGGAUGUGAAAGCCCUGGGCUUAACCUGGGAACUGCAUUCGAUACUGCGUGACUAGAGUAUGGGAGAGGGUAGCGGAAUUCCGGGUGUAGCGGUGAAAUGCGUAGAUAUCCGGAGGAACAUCAGUGGCGAAGGCGGCUACCUGGGCCAAUACUGACGCUGAGGUGCGAAAGCGUGGGGAGCAAACAGG